RNAcentral lists this transfer RNA (73 nucleotides) under Candidatus Bathyarchaeota archaeon. RNAcentral's name for it is "tRNA-Gly". It matches the Rfam family "tRNA". Rfam says of the family: Transfer RNA (tRNA) molecules are approximately 80 nucleotides in length. Their secondary structure includes four short double-helical elements and three loops (D, anti-codon, and T loops). RNAcentral also lists the same sequence under 1 other name. The record is from RNAcentral. Lineage: Archaea; Thermoproteati; Candidatus Bathyarchaeota.
GCGGCCGUAGUCUAGCCUGGCAGGACUUCGGCCUCCCGAGCCGGCGACCCGGGUUCAAAUCCCGGCGGCCGCA